RNAcentral lists this unclassified non-coding RNA (217 nucleotides) under Hevea brasiliensis (rubber tree). Lineage: Eukaryota; Viridiplantae; Streptophyta; Magnoliopsida; Malpighiales; Euphorbiaceae. The record is from RNAcentral.
AAAAUAGACGCAAUGGAAUAAUAGAAAAACCAUGAAGUAAUUAAUUAGAUAAUUAAUUAAAAAGGUAGAAUAGUCUUUUCUGUCUAUUAAUUUUAAGGUUACCCAUAUUGAUUCACUUUUUAUCCAAAUUCUUGAUCCCAAAGCAUUCCGUGAUAAUAAAGAAAAGGGACACUAGGUCGACCUAUAACUGGUGAUAAUAGUAACCUGGUGAAUUUGG